GACGAACGCUGGCGGCGUGCUUAACACAUGCAAGUCGAACGGAAAGGCCCUGCUUUUGUGGGGUGCUCGAGUGGCGAACGGGUGAGUAACACGUGAGUAACCUGCCCUUGACUUUGGGAUAACUUCAGGAAACUGGGGCUAAUACCGGAUAGGAGCUCCUGCUGCAUGGUGGGGGUUGGAAAGUUUCGGCGGUGGGGGAUGGACUCGCGGCGUAUUAGCUUGUUGGUAGGGUAGUGGCUUACCAAGGCUAUGACGGGUAGACGGCCUGAGAGGGUGGCCGGACAAACGGGAACUGAGACACGGUCAAGACGCUUACGGGAGGCAGCAGUAGGGAAUGUGACGCAAUGGGCGGAAGCCUGACGGAGAAACGAAGCGUGAGUGAUGAAGGUCUUCGGAUCGUAAAAAUCUGUUAUUAGGGAAGAACAGAUGUGUAAGUAACUGUGCACAUAUUGACGGUACCUAAUCAGAAAGACACGGCUAACUACGUG
RNAcentral lists this ribosomal RNA (488 nucleotides) under uncultured bacterium. RNAcentral's name for it is "partial 16S ribosomal RNA". It matches the Rfam family "Bacterial small subunit ribosomal RNA", at positions 28 to 507 of the family's 1533-position model. The record is from RNAcentral.